RNAcentral lists this ribosomal RNA (257 nucleotides) under uncultured prokaryote. RNAcentral's name for it is "partial 16S ribosomal RNA". It matches the Rfam family "Bacterial small subunit ribosomal RNA", at positions 524 to 780 of the family's 1533-position model. The record is from RNAcentral.
UACGGAGGAUGCAAGCGUUAUCCGGAUUUAUUGGGUUUAAAGGGUGCGCAGGUUGUUUUAUAAGUCAGUGGUGAAAGUCUGUCGCUUAACGGUAGGAUUGCCAUUGAUACUGUUGGACUUGAAUAUGGAUGAGGUAGGCGGAAUGUGUAGUGUAGCGGUGAAAUGCAUAGAUAUUACACAGAACACCGAUUGCGAAGGCAGCUUACUAAUCCAUCAUUGACGCUGAGGCACGAAAGCGUGGGGAUCAAACAGGAUUA